AAGUUGCCAAAAAAAUAAGGAUAAAAGGUAGGUUUAAGGGUAAAAUCUUAGACGUAUAUUUUUAGUAUAAGUUAGGUGAAGCUGAAAAAUUCAAAGGUUAAACUAGGAUUAGAUACCCUAUUAUAUUUGAAUAAAGAUGAGUAGUACUAGUUAUGGGCUUCAAACUCAAAGAAUUUGGCGGUGUUGAAUCUGAUUAGAGGAACCUGUCUAGUAAACGAUAAUCCACGAAAAUCUUACCUAAAAGUAAUAGCUUGUAUACCGUCGUUUGGAGUAUUAUAUGAAUGUAGUUGCUAGAGUUAGGGAGUCCCUGGGAUGACAGAUCAAGGUGCAGCUAAUAUUUAGGUUAGGAUGGGUUACAUUCUAGAUUUAUUGACUAUAUCUUUGAAAUGAGCGUAAGGAUUGGAUUUAAAAGUAAUUAAGAGUUAUAACCUUGAAAUGAUAUUGAUCUUGAACAUGUACAUAUCGCCCGUCGCUCUCAUAUAUUAAAUGAGAUAAGUCGUAACAUA
Molecule: ribosomal RNA, 506 nt
Filed under: Nichollsia sp. MB-2006
Lineage: Eukaryota; Metazoa; Arthropoda; Malacostraca; Isopoda; Hypsimetopidae
Description: partial 12S ribosomal RNA
Source: RNAcentral